UCGGUCUGUUUUGCCUCUCACCGCGAUCAUACUUCUCCUGACUAAGACACAGAUAAAUACAGAUGAGACCCAGAUGAAUUUAAUGACUUAAUACUGAAAAACAGCCUGAUUUAAAAGGCUGUGAGCAAACCCAAAGCAUGCAGCAGUCCAGACGGAAAAUGAAGAAAAUUUGUUCUGAUAAAGAAAAAAUAAAAUACAUCUCUGGACACAAAAUGUUAAAAGUAAUCCCAUCGUGGUCCGAAAUAAAUCACAUUAACUCAGCCGUGGUUUUAUUGUGUGCGCACAGAGAGUUGUAUUUUUCACAGUGCGAACCUCAUUUGGAAUUUUGGCAAUUCUGUGUUUUUUGCUUAUCUGAACACUCUAAACGAUUAUGAACAACAACAUAAGAAUAGUUCCGAACAAAUAAGCAUAUUCUAAAAUUCCGCUGAGGUAUACACUGAAAUAAAGCAGGUUUAAGUCCCGUUGCACCGUUUCUCCAGAGUAAAUCCUUGCCUAAAUAACAGCGCUUGGGAGACGGUGCAAAGUUUUCUGACUAACUGUAUUUUGUGAGUGAUUGCUGAAUAAACACUGGGUUCAUGUUUCGAUAUGACCGAGAGUCAUCAUUUGUUUUUAUCAUAGGCUGCACGGUCUCACAGAAAUGAGUUUGGCGCAAUCGUGCAAAGAGUCCGUUUCUAAACAUGUGCUGGACGCCUCCAAUACACAAAACCGCUCCCAGAGGACCGAUAAGUGCUCCGGGUUUUGUUCUUUCCAAUAGACAAUUUAGUAUCCAGUCUGCCUAAUGAAUCACUCUGUGCAACGAGAAGAAACGUGUCGCUUAUCACCCUGUUAUGAAGUGCAAAUAGACCAUCAUCGACUCCCAUUGCUUGGGGGUGGGGGGAGUUGGGUCGUGGGGGGCGUGAGUCUCCACACUCGAGUGGAAGUGGCUCCCACAAGCUACGUUAUGUGACACAUGCAUAAAAAUAACACCUUACGCUCACACCUUGGUUUGCACUUUUGGCACAAAACCACCAGAUUUGGCACCUUUUUACGCGAACUUUUAGUGUAAACACACAAAGUUAAGGGUCCCCGAGAGGCAUGUAGGUGGAGUAAGAGGGCUGUGGAGGACUUUAAAUCAAGUCAGAUAAAGAUUAAGGGCGCUGCUUUCUCUCAAGGGUUCGUUGAAAAUGGAUGUUAAGUUAGAAAUUAGACGCCAAAAUCGGAUCACUAUUUUUGAGCAUGUGACAUUGAAAGUUGCAAAUUAUUGAGGGGGCUCUGUCUGCAGGACAAAAUGUACUGAAAGAAAUGCAACGUUAUCAUAAUGUAGGGUCAUUAUGUAGAAUCAAUCUUUCCUUAUUCCUUACAGUUUAGCCAUAUAAUAAGCCUGACCUAUGCUGAAUUACUCCUCCAUGAGCUCUACUCCAGUAAUGUAAACUUGAACUGCCCAGCGUUUGUUCUGGACCCCGAGGGACCAUCUUUGGGGAGCUGCACUGUUGCUCAACCGUUCUGCUUUGUUUGAUGGGAACCUUUCCCAGAUCUAAAUAGGCUCUAAUAAAUUUCACUUGUUGUUGAUGUUGUGAAGCUCCACUCUGGUCACAGUGGGUUUUAGAAGACUGGAGGUUAAAGAGCUCUUGGCACCUGCAUCCUUGUGUGAGGGCCUUGAAACCUAACUGAGCCAUAAUGAAUGAGUUUUUUGUGGGUAUAGAUUGGUCCAGGUGGGCUUUCAAGAGAGCCAAAGGAAACAGUUUGGGGGUCUAAAAAGAGGACAGAGGGCCAGGACAAAUUUAAAUGGGUUUGGGUUGAGGUAUUCCAACUAUUUUCAUUUGUUUCUGUUAAGUCACUUAGGUCUGAGCUCCAAACACACUUGAAAAAAUACACGGUGCAGAGAGCCAGAGGAGCAGACGCUCACACACAUUCCUUACUGUACAUGAUCUGGAGACUCACACAUUUGCUCCAGCAGCAUCUAUGGUUUCAAAUGACUUGAAAGUUUGGCCCCUGGAGCCUGAGCUUGGUUUUAGUCUUGCAACAGAGACGGGAAAUCAAAGAAUAAAUCUCCCAUUCUAUGGUAAAAAUUUAGCAAACAAUUUUACAAGCAGAUAGACCAAGAAAGUAUACUGGCAUACACAGUGCAAACUGAGACUGUUCUGCCCUUUUUUGUGUGCCUGAUGGUGCAUUGUUUUCAGUGCAAGGGAGCCAAUCAUAUACCAGUCAGCUGCCCCAUGGCAUGAGUUGUGAUCCACCUAUAGCAUCCUGUCAUACAUCCUUUUAUACUGUAAAAUGAUGGCUACAAGCUGAUUCCCAAACUUUUAAAGGCUUUAUUUUCUUGAAUGCGCUUGUGUAAAAUAGGAGACAGCAUCCAAAAUUACACAGAAUGAGGACAAAAGACAAACCCAGAUUCACAGUAAUCAGCUGUAACAUUAUGUGCAAUCUAAUUAAAUCCAAAUACAACAGCUUUUCCAUUUAGGCUUCUCUAGUUCCAGCUUUUCUCGUCAUGCCAGAAAGGUGAUGAUAACUUUUUAAAAAUCAUGAUCCAAGUUAAAUUCUUUGGCCUUAACUUCUGUGUGUGGGAGUUCUCAAGGAAAAUUUAAUGCCCAAAUGUCAAAGCUCGCUCCUGAUUCAACACGUGCAGUCUGAGCUUGAUAAGGUGACCAUUUAGCAGGAGUGCAUGAAAAAACAAUUUUCACAUCUUAAUCAAACAGUGUUCUUACUUUGAGUCAGUAUAUUUACAUGUACAGUUAAAUCAAGCUACAGUCAAAGCACAAUUAGGGGGUUUACUGGACCACAGUCCUAAUCCAAGUUUACAAGCAUGGAGGCAAGAAUCAAAUUAUUAACAGAAGCUUGUCUGCCUCCACUACAGCGGGUGGCAACAUACCCCCUUUGACCUGUUGUGAAUCAAAACAGUCAGCAAAACCUGUUAGCAAGAGGCCAACGGGAUGUACCUUGAUUGAUGAAAACACCAUGACUUUUACAGCUCCAUACUGUUUGUUUGUAAAAAAUAUAUCUUUUCUUUGUCCUUUCUUUCCCUGUUGAGUUUGUAUAAUACCCAUCUUCUCAGCAAUGCUUUCAUGCUUUUGGCGCCCCUGUGGACAAUGUCUGCCCUGUUAGUCCAUUGCUAGUUGUCUCUGUUAGUCUCACCCUGCUUUCUUUUAAAUGGUGAAAUGUGUCACUCAGUGUAAAAGUUUGCUGAGCUGAGUACAAAAACUUUGUUGCCGAUUGUUUCGUCUGAGUCCAACCCCCCACUGUGAUUACAGACAGUACAAAUUUACAUAUAGAAAUGGACAAUAUUGUGGCUUAUGGUCCUGUUUCCUUUUAUAGGCUAUAUAAAAGCAUCUCUGUUUAAUUCAGCUUGUUGUAUAACUGACUAAAAUGUUCUUACAGUAGCUUUAGAUUUCUUAAAACCUAUGUCAGAGAUCUAAAUGCAAUUUACUUAUAGUUUUUAGCCCCCUAAACCAGACCUUUUCUCUGGGAAACUUCGGGUUAAAACAGUAUUAUUGAAGUUUUGGUUGCAAAUGAAUCAGACACAGCCUCAUUUCCAUAUCUUAAGCGUUAGUGAAUUGAUAGGGGCGUCAAUUUCCCUUUCCAUCACACACCCCAACCCCCACCCACCUUCACCCCA
This 3592-nucleotide long non-coding RNA is filed under the name Xyrichtys novacula (pearly razorfish). Lineage: Eukaryota; Metazoa; Chordata; Actinopteri; Labriformes; Labridae. The record is from RNAcentral.